RNAcentral lists this ribosomal RNA (497 nucleotides) under uncultured bacterium. RNAcentral's name for it is "partial 16S ribosomal RNA". It matches the Rfam family "Bacterial small subunit ribosomal RNA", at positions 28 to 507 of the family's 1533-position model. The record is from RNAcentral.
GAUGAACGCUGGCGGCGUGCCUAAUACAUGCAAGUCGAGCGAACAGACGAGGAGCUUGCUCCUCUGACGUUAGCGGCGGACGGGUGAGGAACACGUGGAUAACCUACCUAUAAGACUGGGAUAACUUCGGGAAACCGGAGCUAAUACCGGAUAAUAUAUUGAACCGCAUGGUUCAAUAGUGAAAGACGGUUUUGCUUUCACUUAUAGAUGGAUCCGCGCCGCAUUAGCUAGUUGGUAAGGUAACGGCUUACCAAGGCAACGAUGCGUAGCCGACCUGAGAGGGGGAUCGGCCACACUGGAACUGAGACACGGUACAGACUCCUACGGGAGGCAGCAGUAGGGAAUAUUCCGCAAUGGGCGAAAGCUUGACGGAGCAACGCCGCGUGAGUGAUGAAGGUCUUCGGAUCGUAAAACUCUGUUAUUAGGGAAGAACAAAUGUGUAAGUAACUAUGCACGUCUUGACGGUACCUAAUCAGAAAGCCACGGCUAACUACGUG